GACGAACGCUGGCGGCGUGCCUAAUACAUGCGAGUCGAACGAGAGCAACCGGUGCUUGCACUGGUCAAUCUAGUGGCGAACGGGUGAGUAACACGUGGGUAACCUGCCCAUCAGAGGGGGAUAACAUCCGGAAACGGAUGCUAAAACCGCAUAGGUCUUCGAACCGCAUGGUUUGAAGAGGAAAAGAGGCGCAAGCUUCUGCUGAUGGAUGGACCCGCGGUGCAUUAGCUAGUUGGUGAGGUAACGGCUCACCAAGGCCGUGAUGCAUAGCCGACCUGAGAGGGUGAUCGGCCACAUUGGGACUGAGACACGGCCCAAACUCCUACGGGAGGCAGCAGUAGGGAAUCUUCCGCAAUGGACGCAAGUCUGACGGAGCAACGCCGCGUGAGUGAAGAAGGUUUUCGGAUCGUAAAACUCUGUUGUUAGAGAAGAACAAGUGCUAGAGUAACUGUUAGCGCCUUGACGGUAUCUAACCAGAAAGCCACGGCUAACUACGUG
RNAcentral lists this ribosomal RNA (498 nucleotides) under uncultured bacterium. RNAcentral's name for it is "partial 16S ribosomal RNA". It matches the Rfam family "Bacterial small subunit ribosomal RNA", at positions 28 to 507 of the family's 1533-position model. The record is from RNAcentral.